This 4062-nucleotide long non-coding RNA is filed under the name Oryza sativa (Asian cultivated rice). RNAcentral describes it as "long non-coding RNA (OSAT_LNC001357)". The record is from RNAcentral. Lineage: Eukaryota; Viridiplantae; Streptophyta; Magnoliopsida; Poales; Poaceae.
GGGUCUGGAAACACUCCAAGCUAGUUCGGAACAUGAUCUCUCCAGGACCAUACAGAACAAGAGAUUCUUCCUUGUCCUUGACAAUGCAAAGGAUAACCUGCAACGUGAAUGGAAGACUGUGAGAGCAAAAUUAACUGGAGCAGCAGCAGGGAGCAUAGUACUGGUGACAACUAGAUCAGAAGUGACUCAUGCCAUUCCAGGAGGUAUAGUUAUAACUUUGGAUAAAAUUCCAACAUCUGUUCUCUCGAUGAUUCUGAAGCACCACGCGUUUGGACUCACCAGAAAAGAUUCUCUGGAAUCAAUUGGUGACAAAAUAGCUGGUAAGUUGCAUGGCCUGCCCUUAUCGGCAGAGGUAAUCGGGAGGCUUCUCAGAACGAAGUUAGAUGAAGACCACUGGCGAAAUGUUUGUGAAAGCAAUUGGUGGAAUGACUAUGAAGAUCUGGUCAUCACUAAUCCUGCUUUACCUUCAGUAACGAUUGCACUGGAAUUCCUCAGAAAUGACCUAAAGAAAUGUUUGGGUUACUGUUCCAUGUUCCCAUCCAGUUAUUUAUUUGACAAAAGAAAAAUGACUCAAAUGUGGGUGUGUAAUUCUAUGCAACAACAUCAAGAAUCCGCAUAUGAGAUCACAGACAUUCGAUGGCUUGAUGAGCUCUUGAACAGGUCACUUAUCCAGUCAACUGUAUGGAAGGGUAAAUAUACAGUGAAUGAAAUGAUCAAAAAAGUUGUGGCCUCCAUAAAUCAAACAGGAUGUUACACAAUAGACGAUUUACACAGUCCCAGACAAAACCUUUCCAAUAUCAUCCACAUGGCAGUUGACAAAUAUGAUUUCGAAGUGUCAUUGGACCUAAGAAAACAAAGCAAGGUACGGAGCAUUUUAUUUUUUGAUGGCCAGAGAACAACCAUGCUGAAUACAGCCCUUAAUAGCAUAUUGCCUGUUUCAAGUUCCCUGAGGGUGUUAGACCUGUCUUGCAUUGAAACUAAGAUGGAAAGGCCCCCUGAUGUCAUCAGUACAUGCUCUCACCUAAGGUACUUGGACCUAUCCUUCACUGGGAUCACAAUGUUUCCAGACUCAUUCUGUAAGCUACUCCUUUUACAAGUUCUAGGUAUGCGAGGAUGUAGAUUCACAGAGUUACCUAGGGAUAUGAAUAAGCUAGUCAACCUGCGAUAUUUAUAUGCAGAAGCUUGCACACUCUCUUUGAUACAUAGUAUAGGCCAGCUAUCCAAGCUUCAAUACUUGGAAGAAUUUGCUGUCAGUGAAAAGGAGGGGUAUAGGAUAACAGAACUGAAGGAUUUGAAUUACCUUGGUGGCCAUCUUUGUAUUACGAAUCUUGAGAAAGUGGCAUGUGUGAAUGAGGUGUGUGACGCGCGUCAUGCUGAGCUGUCUAAAAAAAUGUACCUCCAGAAGUUGGCUCUAAAGUGGAAUUCACAGCCAGCAACACUUGAUGGUUGCACGGAAACUGUUUCACACCUAAAACCAAAUGGACAACUUAAGGAUCUCGAGAUCCACUGCUACAUGGGAGUGAAGUUUCCAGGAUGGAUAGCAGAUGACCAGCACUUCACCACACUGCGAUACAUUAAAUUCAGUGGCUGUAAAAAAUUGGUAGAACUUCCACCUCUUGGAAAUCUUUCUCACCUUGCGGUUCUAAUUCUACAAGGCUUGGAACAAAUAAAAGAUAUCGGAAAGGAAUUUUAUGGCAGUUAUGACAGGGUAUUUCCAUCCCUUGAAGAACUGACGUUCCGUGACAUGGAAAAUUGGAGGAGGUGGAUGGAUAUAGCACCAACACAAAUUAUUCCACGGAUCAGAAAGAUUGUGAUAAAGAAUUGCAGAAAGCUAGUUGAUCUCCCCAAAUUUGUUCUUGUAGGAUCCCACGAACUGGUAGAAUUGUAAGAACAGAAGAAGCCGAGGAGGAAAACAUGACAUGUUUAAAAGUUCAUGAUUGUUUGGCAAUCAUGAUUGAUCUCCCAAACCAUUUGUUGGCGUCAACCGAGGUAUGGAAUCUUCAAAUCUGUGAAGUGUGCUUCCAAGGAGAGUAAGAACAUAAGCAACUAAGGGAGGUUCUUGAAUCUUGACCAUUAUUGAUUGUAUUGAAGUGAGACAGAGGAAGAAAAGAAAAAAAAAGCUAGCCUUGUCUUCUUUCUUGAAUCUUGAUCAUUAUUGAUUUUAUUGAUUAUUGAUUGUAUUUUUUCUUCUUUCCUGGCUAUUGUCUCCUAGGACUCUAGCCUUGUAAUUUUUCUCCUGCUCUAUUCAAUGAAUCUUCGCGAUGUCUGGUGCGGAUCGUUCAACAACCAGAUUUCUGGUGUGAAUCCUAGUUUUUAAGACAAUUAGUGGUCUAUGAGGAAUGCAAAAAAGGUUUCAAAGCUAUCGACUACCCCCUUGGCUUCAUUUUCACCCCAACUAGUUCGGGCCCACACCUCACCCACCCCAAGGAGGCAAACAAGUAUGUUUACCGAUCUCCUUAAUAGCCGUACCAAGGGAUAAAACUUGCUAUAUUUUGGGACAUAUGAAGUAUUUUAGAAGGAUUGGUUUAACAAAAUAUGUCUUCACAAAACCAUAUUUUGCAGGUUAGCAUCUUAAUGCAUACUAUAAGGUUUCACCAGUAAUUUUUCAACAAAAAAAAAAUCAAGGCCCCUUGCAGUUUACAAUGGUCAAGAUGGAUAUGUCAGUUUCUUCUCAAAAACUUAGAAACUACAGUGCUAUAUUUUGGUUGGCUUUCCCAUUUCCACCACACCUAUCAUCCAUUUCAGGAGCAAUGAUUUUCUUGAAUUUUGCAGUUUUCAGGUUACUGUGUAUAAUAUAUUAAGAAGUUGGUGGCUAAUCUUGAAGAACAAAACAAUUGAGUGAAGAGGCCACGGUGUAGCAGGUAAACAAGUUCCCUGACUAAUUGCAAUCUCGGACCAUAGGAAGAGCAAGAGGAAAGGCAAACCUUUUACCAUCAGAUAGUCCACUUCUGUUUAUGUUCUUUUUACAUUAUGCUGUAAUCUGAUAUCUACAGGUUUCUUAUUGCUCCUAUUAAUAUAGCAAAAGCACUCCACUGGAUUUUCGAAAAAAAAAUACUAUGUACUUCCUUUGUUUCACAAUAUAAGAUGUUUUAGGUUUUGAAUAGAUUCAUGCAUGGAUUUAUGUAUGUACUCCGUUCUUCAUUUAUGUGUCCAAAUUAAUAUGUAUAUGUGCGACUCUAGACGAGAGAUGGAGAAGCCAAAAUGUCUAAUAAUAUGGAAGAGAGGGAGUAUUAUAUUUUCUAUCAACCUUUUAGCUCUCAGAGUUACCCUUUUUUCAGAAUCAUUGACAGAGUGAGGUACAAUGUACAUGGGAACUGCUAGUCUGUAGAUUGUUCGUUAUGUAUUCAGAGGCUGCACAAAUAGACCUGAAUGUUUGAACUAUCUAUGAUUUGAAGAAUUCGCCCACUUGAAACAUGGGACCUUCUAGCAACAUGAACAGGGUUCACGCGGAGAUUAGCCAUGCCACAAGAAAGAUAAACAUAGCCCGUAUUACCACACAGAAUGCUGCAAUGCUAUAUUAUACACAAAGAGCCGAAGAGGACAAUCAUAUUUAAUACUGAGAACGGCAGGCGCGCGAUGGGGGGCGUACCUUAAUUCCGAGUUACUCCAUCAGAAAGAUACCACUGCAUUGUCAUCGAAUAGGACGGCUGCAUGCCACCGCAUGAUUGCGGAUUCCCGGCCACUUCAGAUGAUCAAAUCGACGCCUUCAUCUGUCCGCACCUGGUGCAGAGCGAAGAGCGGAGUCAGGGAGAAGUGCGCAUUUCGUCGAGCAAGUGGCGAGCACCACUCACCUGGGCAAAGAGACGGCCCGCAGAAGCAACCAGCGGAGGAGAGGAGGGGGAGCUCGCCUGCAUCACCUAGGCACCGCCUGCCUCGUGAACGCCGACACGGUUCAGGAGCCCGUAGAGGUAGAGGUAGAGCGGCUAGGGCCAUCGGCCUCCGCCGGCGUGUCCUCACUCGGGACUCGGGAGAGGGCGUGAGGCUCGCCGCCUCGCGCCCUUCGGGGAAGAUGCAGAAUUUUUAUUUUAUUUUUCUGUUCUGACCUUUAUUGACACGUCUCAC